Molecule: ribosomal RNA, 498 nt
Filed under: uncultured bacterium
Lineage: Bacteria
Description: partial 16S ribosomal RNA
Rfam family: Bacterial small subunit ribosomal RNA
Source: RNAcentral
GGAUGAACGCUGGCGGCGUGCCUAAUACAUGCAAGUCGAGCGAACAGAUAAGGAGCUUGCUCCUUUGACGUUAGCGGCGGACGGGUGAGUAACACGUGGAUAACCUACCUAUAAGACUGGGAUAACUUCGGGAAACCGGAGCUAAUACCGGAUAACAUAUUGAACCGCAUGGUUCAAUAGUGAAAGGCGGCUUUGCUGUCACUUAUAGAUGGAUCCGCGCCGUAUUAGCUAGUUGGUAAGGUAACGGCUUACCAAGGCAACGAUACGUAGCCGACCUGAGAGGGUGAUCGGCCACACUGGAACUGAGACACGGUCCAGACUCCUACGGGAGGCAGCAGUAGGGAAUCUUCCGCAAUGGGCGAAAGCCUGACGGAGCAACGCCGCGUGAGUGAUGAAGGUCUUCGGAUCGUAAAACUCUGUUAUCAGGGAAGAACAAAUGUGUAAGUAACUGUGCACAUCUUGACGGUACCUGAUCAGAAAGCCACGGCUAACUACGUA